ACGAACGCUGGCGGCGUGCUUAACACAUGCAAGUCGAACGGAAAGGCCCUGCUUUUGUGGGGUGCUCGAGUGGCGAACGGGUGAGUAACACGUGAGUAACCUGCCCUUGACUUUGGGAUAACUUCAGGAAACUGGGGCUAAUACCGGAUAGGAGCUCCUGCUGCAUGGUGGGGGUUGGAAAGUUUCGGCGGUUGGGGAUGGACUCGCGGCUUAUCAGCUUGUUGGUGGGGUAGUGGCUUACCAAGGCUUUGACGGGUAGCCGGCCUGAGAGGGUGACCGGCCACAUUGGGACUGAGAUACGGCCCAGACUCCUACGGGAGGCAGCAGUGGGGAAUAUUGCACAAUGGGGGGAAGCCUGAUGCAGCAACGCCGCGUGCGGGAUGACGGCCUUCGGGUUGUAAACCGCUUUCGCCUGUGACGAAGCGUGAGUGACGGUAAUGGGUAAAGAAGCACCGGCUAACUACGUG
Molecule: ribosomal RNA, 467 nt
Filed under: uncultured bacterium
Lineage: Bacteria
Description: partial 16S ribosomal RNA
Rfam family: Bacterial small subunit ribosomal RNA
Source: RNAcentral